GCAGCAUUGAAAAACUGGUUCCUGUAGGAUCACUGAAAUUAAGCAAUGUCGAGCCUGGUCAGUACCGAGAUGAGUGACCACUUUGAAAUACUAGGUGCUGUAA
Molecule: non-coding RNA, 103 nt
Organism: Acanthosepion pharaonis
Lineage: Eukaryota; Metazoa; Mollusca; Cephalopoda; Sepiida; Sepiidae
Source: the annotation of a GenBank genome assembly